This 48-nucleotide small RNA is filed under the name Sinorhizobium meliloti 2011. Its description in RNAcentral is "putative ncRNA". The record is from RNAcentral. Lineage: Bacteria; Pseudomonadati; Pseudomonadota; Alphaproteobacteria; Hyphomicrobiales; Rhizobiaceae.
AGUGGCGCGCCCAUUGGUCUAUGGACCGCAGGCGGCAGGGCGGACUAU